Molecule: long non-coding RNA, 356 nt
Organism: Hemicordylus capensis (graceful crag lizard)
Lineage: Eukaryota; Metazoa; Chordata; Lepidosauria; Squamata; Cordylidae
Exons: 3
Source: RefSeq, a predicted model, not a curated record
CCUGUCUGCCCCUCAUGGACUCAGGAAAUGCUCACACCUAUGGGCCACGACAAGACUAGAUUAGAUGGUCAAUCAUUCCCACAAAGUGUAGAAGGGCUGUACAUCAUCUGAACCUCCAACAACAUCAGAGGAAAUUCGCCUAGUCAACAAGUGGCUUUCCUGCUUGAGGACAGCAUACCUGCCAUUACUCGUAAAGUGGUGGGCUUUUGUGCAGCAGCUCGAAGAGUGCGCCAGUUUUUAAUUAACAGUCCUAGUGCUGCUCUAUAACCUUUCAGUUAUAAUAUUGUUGAUGGGUUAGACUGUUGACUUGUUUUUUGUUUGUUUGUUUGUUUUAAAAUAAUUUAUAUUUUAAUUGU